AUUGAACGCUGGCGGCAGGCUUAACACAUGCAAGUCGAACGGUAACAGGGAGAAACUUGUUUCUCUGCUGACGAGUGGCGGACGGGUGAGUAAUGCUUGGGAAUCUGCCUUAUGGAGGGGGAUAACCACUGGAAACGGUGGCUAAUACCGCGUAAUAUCUUCGGAUUAAAGUGUGGGACUUUCGAGCCACACGCCAUAAGAUGAGCCCAAGUGAGAUUAGGUUGUUGGUGAGGUAAUGGCUCACCAAGCUUACGAUCUCUAGCUGGUUUGAGAGGAUGACCAGCCACACUGGGACUGAGACACGGCCCAGACUCCUACGGGAGGCAGCAGUGGGGAAUAUUGCACAAUGGGCGCAAGCCUGAUGCAGCCAUGCCGCGUGAAUGAAGAAGGCCUUAGGGUUGUAAAGUUCUUUCAUUAGUGAGAAAGCGGUUAUAUCUAAUAGGUGUAACCAUUGAUGUUAGCUAAAGAAGAAGCACCGGCUAACUCCGUGCCAGCAGCCGCGGUAAUACGGAGGGUGCGAGCGUUAAUCGGAAUGACUGGGCGUAAAGGGCACGCAGGCGGUUAUUUAAGUCAGAUGUGAAAGCCCCGAGCUUAACUUGGGAAUUGCAUUUGAUACUGGGUAACUAGAGUCCUCUAGGGAGGGGUAGAAUUCCAUGUGUAGCGGUGAAAUGCGUAGAGAUGUGGAGGAAUACCGAAGCGAAGGCAGCCCCUUGGAGAGAGACUGACGCUCAUGUGCGAAAGCGUGGGUAGCAAACAGG
This 758-nucleotide ribosomal RNA is filed under the name uncultured bacterium. Its description in RNAcentral is "bacterial SSU rRNA". It matches the Rfam family "Bacterial small subunit ribosomal RNA", at positions 28 to 776 of the family's 1533-position model. The record is from RNAcentral.